This 171-nucleotide ribosomal RNA is filed under the name uncultured Pantoea sp. RNAcentral describes it as "partial 16S ribosomal RNA". It matches the Rfam family "Bacterial small subunit ribosomal RNA", at positions 334 to 500 of the family's 1533-position model. Lineage: Bacteria; Pseudomonadati; Pseudomonadota; Gammaproteobacteria; Enterobacterales; Erwiniaceae. The record is from RNAcentral.
UACUCCUACGGGAGGCAGCAGUGGGGAAUAUUGCACAAUGGGCGCAAGCCUGAUGCAGCCAUGCCGCGUGUAUGAAGAAGGCCUUCGGGUUGUAAAGUACUUUCAGCGAGGAGGAAGGCAUUGUGGUUAAUAACCACAGUGAGUGACGUACUCGCAGAGAGCCCCGUUUCC